Molecule: ribosomal RNA, 638 nt
Filed under: Melanina gundecimermaniae
Lineage: Eukaryota; Fungi; Ascomycota; Eurotiomycetes; Chaetothyriales
Description: SSU rRNA
Rfam family: Bacterial small subunit ribosomal RNA
Source: RNAcentral
GAGUGUUAUUCAUCUUUAAUCGGUUUAAAGGGUACCUAGACGGAAAAUCAAGCUUAAUUAAACUAAGGACUAGUUUUCUAGAGUUUGACAUGAGAAGGUACGAACUAUCAGAGGAGAGAUAAAAUUUGUUGAUACUGGUGGGACGGACAACGGCGAAGGCAAUCUUCUACUAAAAACUGACGUUGAGGGACGAAGCCUUGGGGAGCGAGAAGGAUUAGAUACCCUAGUAGUCCUUGGAGAAAAUUAUGAGUGCCAUAGACUAAAGUGAAAAAGAAGUUCUUUUAAAAGAACUUUGUAUCUGAGCCUUAAUUGGAUACAAAGGUCUCGAGUAGCAGUUUAUAAAUGAAAGUGUAAGCAUUCCACCUCAUGACUAAAGCGGCAACGCCCAAAUUGAAAUCAUUAGACCGUUUCUGAAACCAGUAGUGAAGUAUGUUAUUUAAUUCGAUAACCCGCGAAUAACCUUACCACGUUUUGAAUUUAUUAAACAAGUGUUGCACGGCUGUCUUCAGUUAAUGUCGUGAGAUUUUGGUUUGUUCCAUUAAUUAACGAAAACCCUUGUUUCAUUUUUAUAUGAAAUAGUUCACCGUUAUAUUGGAAAGAUAAAAGGGAUCAAGACAAGUCAUCAUGGCCUUAAUAAC